UACCAGCACCCCGAGUGGUCGGGACGAUUAUUGGGCCUAAAGCAUCCGUAGCCGGUCCUACAAGUCUUCCGUUAAAUCCACCUGCUUAACAGAUGGGCUGCGGAAGAUACUAUAGGGCUAGGAGGCGGGAGAGGCAAGCGGUACUCAGUGGGUAGGGGUAAAAUCCUCUGAUCCAUUGAAGACCACCAGUGGCGAAGGCGGCUUGCUAGAACGCGCUCGACGGUGAGGGAUGAAAGCUGGGGGAGCAAACCGG
Molecule: ribosomal RNA, 253 nt
Filed under: uncultured bacterium
Lineage: Bacteria
Description: partial 16S ribosomal RNA
Rfam family: Archaeal small subunit ribosomal RNA
Source: RNAcentral